UACGAAGGGGGCUAGCGUUGCUCGGAAUCACUGGGCGUAAAGCGCACGUAGGCGGAUUGUUAAGUCAGGGGUGAAAUCCUGGAGCUCAACUCCAGAACUGCCUUUGAUACUGGCGAUCUUGAGUCCGGGAGAGGUGAGUGGAACUGCGAGUGUAGAGGUGAAAUUCGUAGAUAUUCGCAAGAACACCAGUGGCGAAGGCGGCUCACUGGCCCGUAACUGACGCUGAGGCACGAAAGCGUGGGGAGCAAACAGG
This 253-nucleotide ribosomal RNA is filed under the name uncultured bacterium. Its description in RNAcentral is "partial 16S ribosomal RNA". It matches the Rfam family "Bacterial small subunit ribosomal RNA", at positions 524 to 776 of the family's 1533-position model. The record is from RNAcentral.